GGCGCGGCCCCACCUUCUUUUCGGGGCAGGCCGCGUGGCUGGGAGGCAUGGCGGCUUCUGGCUGGGUCCAACGGGAUGAACAUUCUCGAGCCUUUGGCUGUGGCUUUUCUUUGGCAUCUGCGGAGACAGUGAGCAGCCGACCUGCAGGUUGAAGCUUAAAAGUGAGGAAUGGAUCCCUGAAAUGAUUUUCUCCUUGCCAGGUGCAGUCUCAGCCUCGGUUUUUGAGGCUGGAAAAGGAUCCUGCAGAAGCAGAUGGCAGCGGUAGCGCAAAGUCCGCUGCCCUGGGCCCGAAGCGGAGACGUCUCUUUUGUAUAUGUCUGCAGUGUGUGAGACAGAACUGACAUGCUUUGCCUGAAACUUCGGCCCAGCAAGAAUCCCUCAUGAGGGACAUGAGGGGCAGGGCACCCAGGUCCUGGGCCCGGAGUCACUGGACACUGGGCCCACGUCACCUGCUCUCCGUUUCACGGGCACAGAUCCUGGGAAGGUGCCCGCUGGGAUGAGGGCCAUGGAUAGCGGCCCCCCCCCCUCCCCCGGCCCUGCUUCCAGACCCAGCGUGCUCAGCCGGCCAGCAGAGUCUGGAGUGGACGAGCGUGGCCAGGGCUGCUGGCUGGGGGGCUGGGUGGGGAAGGGGCCAGCAGCCCACAGCUGAGGAGCCAGGCCUACCUUGCUCCACUCAGAAAAGCGGCCCUUCAGGGCUACGGCCCACCCCGUCAGGCGGGCUCCUGGGGGCCAGGAGGGUUACCUGGGCUGCUCGGGGGGUAGGAAAAAAAGAGCGUCAUUCCCCAACAGUCGACUGAAUUCUUCAGGAUUUUCUUGCUGUCCUCACCCACUUUCCCAGCCUGACAGUGCGCCCCGCACUACCACACCCCGUACCCGCCCGGCUGCUCACCUGUCCCCUUUAUCAGGGCCCUCGGGGACAGGCACACCCAGAAUGGCCGAUCUCAGCAUCACGUAGUCCCGGAUGUCAGAAGGGAUGAAGAUAUAGUGCAGGUCCUGUCGGGGCGACAGAGACCCUGAGCCAGUCCCUCCCGGCCCCCCCCCCAAACAAGACUGUGUCCAGCACCUGCUCAGCCCUCCACCCGGUCCUGCCACCUGUCCUGAUGGGGGAAUUUCUGCUCUCUGCCUGUCACCCCCACUCCCAGGUACCAUGGUGGUUUCAAUGCAUGGUCACAAAUCUUGUGGUAGGUGAGGCUUACUUGCCAUCCCCUUGAGUGACUAACGAAUAGGAGGAAGUGGAAGGGAUGGCGUGUGACCUUGGAGACGAGGCUACAAAGCUCCCUGGGACCCCCUGCGCUGGGUGAAGUGAGCCGCCAUGACCUGGGGACACUCCAGUAGCCUAGAGAGGCGCCAUCUGGACUCUGGCCUCCUUCAAGCCUUCAAGUGCCCGUAGCCCCUGUUGAUGCUGAGCCAAGACCAUUGUGCUAAGCUGUUCCUGAAUCCCUGACCCCCUGAAACUGUAAGAUAAUAAAUGUUUGUCUUUUAAAGCUACCAAGUCUGGGGUAAUUUAUUAACUCAGUGGUAACUCAUACAGGUAGUGUGGCCGGAAAUAAAAGCUGCUCUGUUUUGUUCUGUCACGAGCUAAGAGAGGUCCUGCUGUGGCUAUGGCACUCCUGGAUUUCCUGCCCAGAGGAGGAAGCUUCUAGAAACCCGGCCCGGUCUUCUCAAGCACCACAGAGCCCUUAUCCUGGAAUCUCCCCUCUUUAUGUGGCACCCAGACAGCUCUUGAAGGGAGGAGCAGUGUUCCCGCGACUGGGUGUGGCUGCACAAGCCGCAGGCAGUGGGCGGCCUUGCAUUCUGGCUCCCCUGCUCCCUGGCUGGGCACGCAGUUCCGUGCCUUUGGACUUCAGCCUCCCUCCUAGGCUGCUGUGGGAUCAGGAAGGCAGCUCAGGGAAAUGGGAGACAGCCCUAGCGCUAGUGUGGUCAGAGGGGCCUGGAGGUUGCUGAUUUUAGCUGCGUGGUGGCCUUGGAUGGAUGUGCUGCCAUCAGGAAACGGGCAGCUGUGCCAACCAUGUUUACUGCCGGGAACAGAAGAGAUGCUCACAUUUGAUGCCUUGCGUCCAAAGAAUGCUCGAGAUGAUGUGGCGUUCCUGGGGGAGAAGCAGAAGUAAAUCGGGGUCGGACCUGCCCUUCGGAACCUUCUGAUUCUAGCUCCAGGGGCUGACAAAGCCCGUCAGAGUCAAGAUGGCAUUCGUUUGAUCUUGCCAGGCUCUGAUUUUUGCCCAUGUCUCCCUCUUUAGGAACAAAAAUAUUGUCACAUUAGUAUGUUUUGCUCAGCCUUCUAAACCCAGAAAUCCAAGAAAUCCCAUGGCAAGCGGCAGAAAUGUGGAGUUUACAGAACCCUGAGAUCUGGUUCAAGGAUGAAAACAUACAGUAGGCAAGCUUGCCAGCCCCCUGCCGCCAUCUGAGGGAGCUCCCUGCCAAGGCCCCAGAGGGGCUGGUCCCAGAUGACGUGGUCCCCCUUCCCCUUGGGGUGGGUUGUCCUGCUGUUGUUCCUGGCUCCUGCCCUGCGGCUCCCUGUGGAGGCCAGGGGUCUGAAGCCUCACUCCCUAGGUUUGUAUCCCGUGAUCUAGGGAAGUGACUUCUCAGAGCCUCAGUGUCUGUGUCUGGACCGCAGAUACAAUCAAGUGAUUAAUUAUCAUUAUUAAUCAUAUCACAUCUCCAGUUGUUGGAAGUGUUCACACAGAGACUCAAGAUGAUCUCAUACAAAAAGUGUCCUCUAAAUGGUAGCUAUUGUUACCUAAAGGAAGACGGGAAAGACCUUGUUGUGACAACCUCUAUGACAGUGUCCCUUCGGGAGGGAGGGAAGGGGUUGAUGUUACUCUCCACCCCUACUCCCACCUGCCAGGCGGCCCCUGCAUCAGGGGAGAGAGCAAACAGAAGGACUAGGGGCCUUUGCCUAUUCAAAAGGGUGUCAGGCUUCUCCUAGAUUCCUGUCGCCCCCGCCCUGCCCCCCCCCCCCCCCCCCCCCCCCCCCCCCGCCAGUCACAAGGAAGCAGGUGGGGAGGAUUUUGGCUCAGGAGGCAGUUUGCAAGGAAACAAAGGUCUCUUGUUACUUUUUUUUUUUUGCUUCUGACGUGCUGAGCCAGUUGGGCCACAAGGGAGCAUGCGACCUGCCUCACUUCAGGUUUCCAGAGGACCUGCAGGGGCGGCCGGGGAAGAGCAGGGAUGAUUCCUUCCCCCAUCCCUCUUUCCCCCUCGGAUGGCCACCUGUCCCCCCCACCACCACCACCAUCCUAUAGUUCCUCUCCUCAGCAUAACAGGACCCCCUUUGAAGAGGAACUGGGACCCCAGUACUCAGCCUCAGGGCCGGCGAGAAUCCCCAGGGAGCUUUUGAAAAACACCUUGCGCCCAGGGCCUCACCCCUGUAGUUCUGGUCUGACUGGUCUAGGCCUCCUCCCCAGGUGAUUCUAGCGUGAGCCAGGUUUGAGAACCGGAUGAGGGAGCUGCUGGCCAGGGCAGCUUGGAGACCGGAGGGAUAGAGUUGCAGGGGAGGGGCUAGAGAGCCCCCCGCCCCAGCUCUGUUUUGCUCUCCUGAACACCCCAGCCUCAGGGAGGCCUGCUCAUCUCCAGAGCACCCCUCCGUGCUCAGUGACUUCUCCCAGCCCUCCUUGGGAAUCCCAGGGCUUCUAGACACACCUGCCUGCAGAGCCUGGAAGGGGCGGGCAAGGGAGCCAGCCCAUCUAUGCCCCUCCCAGAAGUUUCACCGGCCUGAGGAGAAAUAAAGACCUUGUACAGUAGGCCUCCCCUCCCCUUGGGUAAGCUCCAAGCCCCGCAGUGGAUGAAACUGUGGAUAGUACCGAACCCUGCACAGGCUAUGUUUUUUCCUCUACAUACAUACGAAUGAUAAAGUUUAAUUUAUAAAUGAGGCACAGUAAGAGAUUAACAACCAUAACUGAUAAUAAAAUAGGACGAUCGUAACAAUAUAACGUGAGUGUGGUCUCUGUAAAUAUCUUACUCGGUAAAUAUCACCCUUCUUGUGACAGUGGGAGAUGACAAAAUAGGCCAGGUGAAGAGACGGGGUCGGGGGGGAGUGGUGACCACAUUGUUGACUACCAUUAGGCUCCUACUGACCUCUGCCUCUAUGUCAGGAGGAGGCUGAUCUGCUCCCAGACCUGGCAUGACUGGGGGUGACUGAAACCAGGGAAAGCCAAACUGCAGGUAAGGAGGUACCACCACGGCG
Long non-coding RNA from Zalophus californianus (California sea lion), 4180 nucleotides. RefSeq lists it as uncharacterized. The record is from RefSeq and is a predicted model, not a curated record. The transcript is spliced from 7 exons. NCBI's taxonomy places the organism in Eukaryota, Metazoa, Chordata, Mammalia, Carnivora, Otariidae.